Molecule: long non-coding RNA, 972 nt
Filed under: Marmota monax (woodchuck)
Lineage: Eukaryota; Metazoa; Chordata; Mammalia; Rodentia; Sciuridae
Source: RNAcentral
GCAAAUAAAUAAAUAAAUAGGUCUGGGGAUGUGCUUUGUAAGUUAGUGGUAAAGCACCCCUGGGUUCAAUCCCCAAUACCUGCCCCUAAAAGUACACACACACACACACACAUACACAAUUAGACCCCUGGAAUCUACUUGGAUUAUUUUUGUUAUGUGUGUAUGCAACAGAACAAACAUAUUAAAUGUGUCCAUAUGUAAACCAGGUGAAAACCCCCUUGCUCUCAGAGCCCUUUGGACAACCAUAAAAAUCAAAACAAAUUAACAAUCAAAUGCAAGCUACAGAGGCAAUUAAAAUCAGGUUAACAAAACUAACUUAAUGUGGCAAAACAUGUCAUUUGGACAAGAUUAAAUUACCACUCAAACUGCAAGUAGAGUGUGGCCUGCUAUGGCAACAGUGCUUUUGAUUUCAGCGUGACUAUAUAUAUAUAUGAGAGUAAAGCCUUCAGUUAUUCUUGGGAUUUAUCAUCAAACAUUUGGGUGUACAGUUUGAUUUUGUUACAUAGUAUAUUGCAGGGCCCCUAAUGAUCCAUAUUGUGUCUUUGUGCGAAUUAGAAAAGAGCCUCCCUCUCAGCAGAUGUGGCCUGUAGCCAGGGCUCAUGGUUGAGCCACUGGGUCCAGAUGGGACCUAAGCCCUAUUUGCCCCUUGGCUCAGUGCCCCGCUGCUAUGACAACCUGCACAACUGUACAUGGCAGAGCCAGUAUAUUAAAAAGUGAACAAAGCAAAUUUCCUCUUCUUCAUUUCAUUUUUUUUUAAGGAAAGAAAAUCAGUCUCUCAAAUUGAUUCAUUAGCUAAGUUAAACCUCUGUGUGGUGUCAUAUUUACUCCACUUAAUUAAAGCAGUUGCAUUGGGAGAUGCUCCUUGCAGUUUCCCUGGGGUUACUAUUCUUGGUGGCCUCUUAUUAAAUAAAAGACACCUUCGACCCAUGAGUUUCUUUUCCACUUAUUUCCCCUAAUUUCUUUGCAUUCUUC